This 627-nucleotide ribosomal RNA is filed under the name Azorhizobium sp. STM 3365. RNAcentral's name for it is "partial 16S-23S ribosomal RNA intergenic spacer". The stretch from base 93 to 165 matches the Rfam family "tRNA". Lineage: Bacteria; Pseudomonadati; Pseudomonadota; Alphaproteobacteria; Hyphomicrobiales; Xanthobacteraceae. The record is from RNAcentral.
UGAGGUCGGACGUUCGAGUCGUCCCAGGCCCACCACUGAUCCAGAAGGUUGGGCGUCGAUCUGAAGCUCUUGUUGUGCUGAGCGUGCUCUUAGGGGCCAUAGCUCAGUUGGGAGAGCGCGUGCUUUGCAAGCAUGAGGUCGUCGGUUCGAUCCCGUCUGGCUCCACCAUUUCCUGCAUUCCGAUGAGGGAUGCGGUCGAGAUGGUCGGUGGUGAAGCGCUUCAAGCGUGAGAGAAGAACAUCCGGUUCUUUUCUCUUCUGUCCGCACAAUCUGUUUCGCUGAUCCUCAGCAAGCCCCCAUGUGGGCGAGGAUGAGCGCUGCUGUCUGACAUUGUGAAUCUGGGCGUUUUCGAUUUGCUGGCCGCAAGGCUGGCGGGUCGUGACAAUCAAGCUUUCGGGCUUGAGAGGACACGAUCAUCGGGUGCUGACCGCACCGGUGUCGAAAAUGUCGAAGCUGGUCUUUAGCGUCCAGCCCUCUCGCUGAUCCGCCUGGUGCGGAUUGAUGAGAACCUCAGCCGAGGAGUGGGCAUGGACGAUGAGAACGAUCAAGUGUCUUAAGGGCAUUCGGUGGAUGCCUUGGCGCUAAGAGGCGAAGAAKGACGUGGUACGCUGCGAUAUGCUUCGGGGA